CCUACGGGUGGCAGCAGUGAGGAAUAUUGGUCAAUGGACGGAAGUCUGAACCAGCCAUGCCGCGUGCAGGAAGAAGGCUCUAUGAGUUGUAGACCGCUUUUGCACAAGGGCAAAACUGAAUACGUGUAUUCAGCUGAGAGUACUGUACGAAUAAGGAUCGGCUAACUCCGUGCCAGCAGCCGCGGUAAUACGGAGGAUCCAAGCGUUAUCCGGAUUUAUUGGGUUUAAAGGGUGCGUAGGCGGACCGAUAAGUUAGAGGUGAAAUGUCCGGGCUUAACUCGGGAACUGCCUCUAAUACUGGUGAUCUAGAGAGUGGAUGCGGUAGGCGGAAUGUAUGGUGUAGCGGUGAAAUGCAUAGAGAUCGUACAGAACACCGAUUGCGAAGGCAGCUUGCCAAGCUAUAUCUGACGUUGAGGCACGAAAGCGUGGGGAGCGAACAGGAUUAGAUACCCCGGUAGUC
Molecule: ribosomal RNA, 460 nt
Filed under: uncultured bacterium
Lineage: Bacteria
Description: partial 16S ribosomal RNA
Rfam family: Bacterial small subunit ribosomal RNA
Source: RNAcentral